UGUAAGCUUUUCAAUUCUGACAAGUGCAAGAGCUCCUUGGGGCAUGAUGGAUUUAGUGAUUGGAGACAUAAUAAUGAGAGACCAAAAGAACAUGAAGUUAGUGUUAAGCAUAUUGCCAAUAUUAACUCUUGCAAUGAACAGAGAACUAGACUGGACAAGCAUUAA
RNAcentral lists this ribosomal RNA (165 nucleotides) under Triticum aestivum (bread wheat). RNAcentral describes it as "partial small subunit ribosomal RNA". The record is from RNAcentral. Lineage: Eukaryota; Viridiplantae; Streptophyta; Magnoliopsida; Poales; Poaceae.